Non-coding RNA from Brachypodium distachyon (stiff brome), 135 nucleotides. NCBI's taxonomy places the organism in Eukaryota, Viridiplantae, Streptophyta, Magnoliopsida, Poales, Poaceae. The record is from Rfam.
CAAGUACUCCCUCCAUCCAUCAAAGGAUAUCUCAAGUUUUUCAAAAUUUGACUGAUCUAGACAUAACUUAGUGUAUAGAUACAUUCAAAUUUAAUCAAAGUUAAGACAUCUUUUGUUGGACGGAGAGAGUAGUAC